Molecule: ribosomal RNA, 253 nt
Filed under: uncultured bacterium
Lineage: Bacteria
Description: partial 16S ribosomal RNA
Rfam family: Bacterial small subunit ribosomal RNA
Source: RNAcentral
GACAGAGGGUGCAAACGUUGUUCGGAAUUACUGGGCGUAAAGCGUGUGUAGGCGGCCUUGCAAGUCGGAUGUGAAAGCCCCGGGCUCAACCCGGGAAGUGCACCCGAUACUGCUGGGCUCGAGUACCGGAGAGGUUGGUGGAAUUCUCGGUGUAGAGGUGAAAUUCGUAGAUAUCGAGAGGAACACCGGUGGCGAAGGCGGCCAACUGGACGAGUACUGACGCUGAGACACGAAAGCGUGGGGAGCGAACAGG